RNAcentral lists this microRNA (22 nucleotides) under Xenopus laevis (African clawed frog). RNAcentral's name for it is "xla-miR-449-5p". Its record names the gene xla-miR-449-5p. RNAcentral also lists the same sequence under 1 other name. The record is from miRBase by way of RNAcentral. Lineage: Eukaryota; Metazoa; Chordata; Amphibia; Anura; Pipidae.
AGGCAGUGUAAUGUUAGCUGGU